RNAcentral lists this long non-coding RNA (803 nucleotides) under Mytilus galloprovincialis (Mediterranean mussel). The record is from RNAcentral. Lineage: Eukaryota; Metazoa; Mollusca; Bivalvia; Mytilida; Mytilidae.
GCAUGUCAGCAAGUCAUUAGGGAUCAUCUUUUUUCAUGUGUAUAAAUGCAUCAUAGAUAUAUCCAAUCCAUCUUCAUUUAUACAUGUUAGUUGAAUUACAUCCAUGUAAAGCUUGCUUAAAGUGAGCAGUUGUAAAAAAAUGUGCUUUAUUAUAUAUUAUAGUAUAUAUAAAAAUAUAUGCUUAGCAUGUGUGAUCAUUUUUGUUAUUGUAUAAAUUAUUUUUAUUGAUAAAGGGAGGUUAUGCACACAAUAAGGGGAGGUUAUUAUAAUGUAGUUUGUUUCUAGUCAAAUAAGAACUAUAUCUCAUGCAUGUGGUAGAAUGCUCAAAUUUUCUGAUUCAAGAAAACAAAUAAAACCAUUUUAACCAGAUCUUUCUUUAAUGUAUAGUUCAAGGAUUGAUCAACUUCAUUUGAAAUGAUUAGAAAACUUCAAAACUGUACAAUUAAUGAGGUAUAGGUAUACAUGUAAUUAAUAUACAAUAGAAAACUACAAUUGAUGAUGUAUAAAUAAUAUGAUUGAUACACAACGGGAAAGUUUGAAUCAGAACAAGAAGAAACAAGAUACAUUACUUAAUUAUAAUAAAAGGCAUUAUAAACAUUUAUGUCAUUCACCGCUUUUUUAAAAUUUUUAGUGAAUGAUCGAUCAUCUGACCGCAUUAUUAAGGAGGCUCGCGGGUACAAAAAUUUCAGUGAAAAAUUAAACAUUUGUUUUUUCAUUACAAAUUUUAUUUAUUGCACUAUCAGUUAUGACUUUAUGAUAUGGUACAAAAAUCAACCAAAAAAAUGGUUUCUGUUUGACCCCAG